CCUGUUCUUCAUUACUUGGCUC
Molecule: microRNA, 22 nt
Filed under: Echinops telfairi (small Madagascar hedgehog)
Lineage: Eukaryota; Metazoa; Chordata; Mammalia; Afrosoricida; Tenrecidae
Description: Ete-Mir-26-P2_3p* (star (passenger))
Source: RNAcentral